GCCACCUCCACCCUGUUUCUUCUGACUUGCGCCGCCCGUCGCGCCCAGCCUAGGAUCGGCGUCGCAUCAUCUCCACGGAUGCCUCCCCGGCGCUGCAGUGCCUUCAUGCCUCUAAGCGGGCUUGGCAGCAGCGCGCGUGGCGGAAGAGGGCACCGGCAGCUGCGAGGAGGAUUGAACAAGGGAAGCCGGAGAUCUGGGAGCGAUGGCAUGACGGUUGACCUUACCUGCAACCUCUUGUGCCAAUCUCCCCCCUGCCAGCGCCGCCCGGUCGAAUCAUUCACUUCUCGUGGCUCAUCUCUCAUGUUAAUGUGUUUACUCUGCUCUAGGAGCGGGCCGAGCGGUGCCGAACGCUACUACUCCGCAGAGUCAGAAGAGCUGAGCGGAGCAGACUGUAGUUCAAUCCGGCGGAGUCGUUGAAACCGAGCUCCGCGUGCCACUCCCUGGCCUCCCGCGCAAAACUUCCAGGUUCGCUUGAUCCAAUUUUCUCGCUAGCGCGCAGCAACUACCUGAACCUCACACCCCGUCGUGUAGGGAGUGGAGUUAGUUAACGAACGUGGUAGCUACUCCCGAUUUUUUGGGCCGGAGCCAAUAAUCCAGGAGCAGGGAGCGGAGUCAAGGAUUCAAAGGAGUGGAGGAGAUCCGAACACGCCCUAACUUCCACAUGAAUCUAAUUCUGCCAUGUUCUCUCAACCGUUGCCUGAUGGCCAUCUUAUGUUUGGUGGCUUGGGGGAGUAGGCUUAGUUUUCUUAAUCAGUUUUGGAUUUCUCAAAUUUUGGUGUGUGCAUUUGGGCUUAUGGAGUUAGCCAUUUUGGUUGGUCUAUUUUGAUUACUGCAGGACUGGUUGUUAUAGAGUUGGAGCAGAGGGGUUGAGCAACUACUGAGCUUAUUGUAAUCACAGCUGAGUGAUAAGAUUCUAGAAUUGGCUCUCCUUUAGUCUGUAGUAGUUUUGUACUUCAAAAAAACAUGGACGGCUUACUAUGAUAGGCAAUACUAAUAAUAUUUGUACAAAAUAUUGUACAACUCUGGUCAUGCUUUUCUAAAAUGUUUAUAUCUAACUUUACAUUAUAAUCAGGUUAAAAAAAUUCUAUGUACAAGCUAGAAUUCUAUCCAUGUCAUCCCUAAUAUUCUGUUGUCUCUUCCGGCUCAAAUGCUUGGCAUCCAAAAGAGCAAAAUAGCCACAAUACUGCAGACCCGUGGAUCCUUCUCUGUAUCUAAAUAUAAGCACUGCCAUCCAGUUAAGAACAGUGCUAUUCUCCUUCUUAAAUGGAAAUAAAUAAAUGGCACCUUCUAAAGGUUGUGUUAAAGAUUUUUUUCUCUGUCCUUCUAAAUUAGUUGUUGAAUUCUCUACCUAAUUGUUAUGCAUCCCUGCAUAUGAUAUUUAGGAUUGGACUGGCAAGCGGACGCAAGAAGAUCCUCUCUGUGUUUACAUUCUUAUAUCUAUAUUUUCUAUGCGGCCAGUCUGCUAUUUCUUAUGCAAAUAAAUUCUGUCAAACAUACUAUUAAAGCUUCUUAAUUGGGUGCUAAAACUUCGCAAAUGCUUGGUACUAAAUUUUCUGGAACUGAAACUGCAUAACAGUUUAGAUAUGGUUUCCCUCUUGCCUUUUCAUUUGCCAAUGAGUUGCAAGAGUCAACUUGGCUCCUACUUUCUGUCUUUGGAUCACUUACUUCUAAUUGUUUAGAAAAAGAAACUUGCAUGUUGGAUCUGAAUGGAAAUAAGUUUUUAAAUGUACACCCCAAUUAAGCAGCAGACUAAUUAGUCUGUGAGAUACAAUUUCUUUUUUGAAAUUUUGUGAGAUACAUUUUAACUUGUAGUGCUUCUUUAUUUUUCUCACCUUCAUUAUUUGAUGAAAAAUUAUGUUAUUUUAUUUUUGCCAGGCCAGGAUUGUCUAUUCAUACAUUAAGCUAUAUACCCCCUCUGUAAACUAAUAUAAGAGCGUUUAGAUCACUAUUUUAGUAAUACAAAUGCUCUUAUAUUAGAUUAUGGAGGGAGUAAAUGUUUAGUUUCUUAUUUUUGUUAUUCCUUAUGGGCGGUACAAAUGGCAAAGUGGCGGCCUUUCUUUUACAUGGGUUUCUAAUACGACAAGUUCAGCAAUGACUCAACUGGCAUUUUGAUGUUUGUGGCUAUAAUUUCCGAAAUUAAAGUUUACAAACAAAUAUAUUUCUACUGCAUAUGUCAACAGGUUUGGGGAAGAUGUGCGUGCAAUGGUACUUAUAGUUAUUUCUACUUAAAGACCAAUGCGGUCUCUUCCAUGCACUUAGUCACUUUUUGUUUCCAAUAUCUAAAUCAAUUUUAUAAACAAGUAACGAUCAGGUUCGUGGAAGAGGUGUGUAGAAUCCUCGCCUACAACUUUGCCUGCUUAAGCAAAUCUAUAUCAGAUUUCCUUAUGCCCAGUUUUCUUCUUAUGUCCAGUAUCUGGCUUCAGUGUACAACCAUGAGCCUUUUCUUCUUAUGCACAAAAGGAAAAAAUCAUUGAAGAUUUUACCAUGAAAAAAAUUGAGAGCUAUGUUUUCUUGCGCACUCAUAGAUCAUAUUUUCAUCUGUUGUUUAAUACUCCCUCCAUUCCAUAAUGUAGUGUGCCCACGCUUUUCGAGAUUUAACUUUGACCAUACAUUUAACCAACAUGGGCGACUGCGGCAGGAGCAAGACAGAUACCUUUGAAUUUGUAUUAGGAAGAAGUUUUCGAAGGAUAAUUUUUCAGUAAAAUGAUUUAUGUAUUAUUGGUCUAAUUUAUGGUCAAAGUUGAAUCUCGAGAGCGCACUACAUUAUGGAAUGGAGGGAGUACCUUAUUUUGACACCCCCACCCAAGCCACCAGCACAUGAUCCAGAAUUGUGAUCGUAUGAUUGUAAUUUUCACGUCUAUGGCGGGGGAUGCAGGUUCAGUAGAGUACUAUUUCCAAUGGUUAUGAGCAUAUCCUAAUUAAUCAGAUAGAUCUUUUGGCUGCAUCAAAUUGGAGUUUUGGUUUUGUAAUCCACCUUCCUUCCAUUAUGAAGGCAUAAUAUUUUCUUAUCACGUCAUACUGCACUACAAAUGGUUAAAACCCGCUGCCGAUUAGAGAAACAAGAAUAAUGGUGCAAACUUCAGAUAGGCAUAGUUCUUCAUCACUGUGCAUUUUACUGGUCUAAGAGUUGGAGCAAAAUUUAAUGGCCUUGGUUUGGCUCGAAUGCGUACUUCUUUUGGCAAAUGUCAAGUAGCAGUCUCUGUUCUCUAGCUAUGCUGCACUAUCUAAGACUUCUCUAUUUGACUAGACUUCUCUUUUCUUCUCAGGAAGUGAACUCAGGCUAGAGGCUUCGUUGGUGGUUGCACUCUUCAGAGCGUCUUCAUGCACUUCAUAUAUGUGAAGAAGAAUUUCAAAAGUUAUAAUAUCCUCACAGGAACACAACUGUAUGAAACAAACAGUUGGUUCGCACUUCUUGAAACAGGGUAACUUCGGAAUAUGCAGAUUGAUCUUACAUAUUUAGAGAUCACCAUACUUUCAAGCAAGUUAUAUACACUCGAGUAGUUGCUUAUUUCGACCGAAGUAAAACUUAUGAUUAUUUUAUCAUUCAUGGUUCUGUCAAGUCUGUAUCAUUUAUCUUGAACAAAUUGAAGGAGCAAUCUAGGAUACAGUGUUCUCAUGGACAAAAUCAGGGUAAAUCCAUUAACAGAACUACUACAAAUAACGUAAGCAACAGAUGCCUGUGAGAUGAUAGGGAGGUGGAAAUUGUAUCGUAUGAUGAAAGAGACUAAAUGAUGCUUCAGUCAAUGAACCGUAUGAUGUUUUGAACAUUAUGAAGUUGGGGCUUUAAAAUCCUCCAAAUUUCUAAAUAGCUUGUUUUUUAACUGGUAGCUUGUUACAUUUUCAUUUUUGAUCUGUUAUUUAGGGAUGUUUGUUUUCUUUGCUACCUGGUCUCUUUUACUCAUGUAGAGGUACUCCCUUAGAUCUCAUAGGUUUUCAUGUUUUGUUAAGCUUGGAUAUGAAUUGCAACAGGCCUCCUUUUC
Triticum aestivum (bread wheat) is the source of this 3980-nucleotide long non-coding RNA. RefSeq lists it as uncharacterized. Lineage: Eukaryota; Viridiplantae; Streptophyta; Magnoliopsida; Poales; Poaceae. The transcript has 2 exons. The record is from RefSeq and is a predicted model, not a curated record.